UGGGAGUCAGAACAUGGGUGAUAAGGUCCGUGUUCGAAAGGGAAACAGCCCAGACCACCAGCUAAGGUCCCAAAAUAUAUGUUAAGUGGAAAAGGAUGUGGCGUUGCCCAGACAACUAGGAUGUUGGCUUAGAAGCAGCCAUCAUUUAAAGAGUGCGUAAUAGCUCACUAGUCGAGUGACACUGCGCCGAAAAUGUACCGGGGCUAAACAUAUUACCGAAGCUGUGGAUUGUCCUUUGGACAAUGGUAGGAGAGCGUUCUAAGGGCGUUGAAGCAUGAUCGUAAGGACAUGUGGAGCGCUUAGAAGUGAGAAUGCCGGUGUGAGUAGCGAAAGACGGGUGAGAAUCCCGUCCACCGAUUGACUAAGGUUUCCAGAGGAAGGCUCGUCCGCUCUGGGUUAGUCGGGUCCUAAGCUGAGGCCGACAGGCGUAGGCGAUGGAUAACAGGUUGAUAUUCCUGUACCACCUAUAAUCGUUUUAAUCGAUGGGGGG
RNAcentral lists this ribosomal RNA (490 nucleotides) under Staphylococcus aureus. Its description in RNAcentral is "partial 23S ribosomal RNA". It matches the Rfam family "Bacterial large subunit ribosomal RNA", at positions 978 to 1471 of the family's 2925-position model. The record is from RNAcentral. Lineage: Bacteria; Bacillati; Bacillota; Bacilli; Caryophanales; Staphylococcaceae.